UUUCCUUCUGAAGAAUCUUCUGGGGUUUGGAGUCCCCUGUAGAGGACUCUCAUGGCUGCAGACACUAAGCCUGGGAGGAAAGAUCCUCAUCUGUAGAGUUCACUGAAAGGCCUGAGAGCAGAAAAGGAAAGAAACAGGAAAGUGUGCCACCUCUGCUCACUGUGGUUCAGCUUCUGCCUUUGCAGCUGAGCUCAGGUGCCCUGGAGUCCUCCCUAGCCUGAGUCAGUGAUCUCAAGUUUAAGUCCCUACUUCCUGGUUUGUAGUAUCAAACAAAGCACAGUUUCAGGCAAGAAAAGCUGUGAAUGCCAUCUAGACAUUGUUGUCUACAUUUGAGGGGGACUGUUGAGCCCCAAAGGGAGCAAGGGUUACAAGGUCAGGUAUUAUAGGAAUGGCCAGGGUUGGAAUCCAAGUUCCAAUCUCCCUUUGCUCUGGGCAGAGGGUAGGCCUGGCAAUUGGUUCCUGCUGUGUACAUGGGGAGAAUCAAAGGGUCUUAUGGGAUCGCUGGCACAGACCUGCCCAAGCAUGGCUUAGGGAGCCUCACACCAACUCAAUGUUUGAUGUGUUCCCAGGUUUGUCUACCACCCUCAGCUGUGUGCCAUUUUCCCUGCCUCCUGCAAGGGACUCUAAAUAUCUUCCUAUAAAAGCGAUCAAGGAGGAGUUGCACAAGGACAGGUGGGGCUCUGUGGGGAGGUUCACAUGGGCUAACACAUUAGAGGGCCACAGUCCCAGGACUGAUGCUGGAUGGACACUCUCCUCUGACAUCCAACAGAGAGAUCUUCACAGAGAUCAAGAGAAGGCUUCUCUGAAUAGCUGUGCAGAGCACCUCCGAUUCAUGCACUUAGGACUGACACCCAUAGGAUGCUUUUGAGGAGCCGAUUGUGAUUCAAGGGCUCAUCUGCCUGGGUCCAUGUGCCUCUAGAGAUGAGCCCAGGACUUGGCUGUGGCUGGUUAUGGAGUCAGAUCAGAGGAUGGGAGGGGGCUUGUCCUUGGCUCCUGGGAGUAGAGCAAUUUUUCUUUCCCUGCCCCUACUUUUCUUGCUUUUCUUUCCUUGGCAUAAGGAGGGACUGGAAGAAGUCUGUCUAUGGGGAGUGAGGCUGGCUGGGAAACUGCUCGCUGUUCUACAUUGUCAUGCUGCUGGGUGCUUGGGGUGGUUGGCAGGAUAACCUCUGCACCAUUCCAGUCUGCUUCUCUCCACUUUAUCCAUGCAUCCCUGUCCCUGCGCUGGGAGACCUGGGUACAAAAGUCCCACCUGUAGCUUCCAGUCCAGGGAUGGAGUCACUCAGUGAAUGGAUUCCAGAUGGUUAUGUGUAAAGCUGCAUCGAACAGGGUAGUUACUGAACAUGUGGGCAUAUGGAGGAGGAUACUGCACUGCACCCACCCACAUUUCAUAUAAAACCAAUCCUCAGGCUCAGGUACUAAUUGGUUCUUUUUAUACCUUUCACCAUUUUUGCUAUUCACUGUACUGUGAAGGGUGAAUUUUCAUUGUUUCACUUCUGCAAAAAGACAGAGUUUAGCAUUGGAGACUCACUACAGCCUGGCUGGAAGGGAGGCCUACACCCAUGUGUCCUUAGGAAAAAGCUCUUUCAUAGGAUGCCUCCCUGAGUCCCAGGAUGUGUGGAGGGCUCUGAGCCCUAUCCAGGGUUGACCUCAGUAUAUUAACGGGAGCAGAGGCUUCUCUCUGAUAGAACAGUACCACCCUCCUGCAAGAUGUCUAUGAUGGUUUGUAUAUGCUUAGCUCAGGGAGUGGCAAUAUUAGGAGGCAUGGUCUUGUUAAAGUAGGUGUGUCGCUGUGGGCAUGGGCUUUAAAACCAUUUUCCUAUCCACAUGCAAGCCAAUCUUCCCCAAGCAGCCUUCAGAUGAAUAUGUAGACCUCUCACUUACUCUGGCACCAUGACUGCCUGGAUGCUGCCAUGCUCCCAGCUUGAUGAUACAGGACUGAGUCUCUGAACCUGCAAUCCUGUGUCCAUUAAUGUUGUCCUUAUAAGAAUGCAUUGGUCGUGGAGUGUCUGUUCUCAGCAGUAAACCCCUAACUGAGACAAUGUCAAUGUUCCCUACUCCAGCUUCCUGGCUAUAGAAGCUUCACACAUGACCGGUAUUCUCUUGGGAUAUGGGCCUAAUAGGCUCUAGGCUGUCUGCUUGAUCUGAGAGUGUUAGGACAUCCUGCUCCUAAGGGCAUUGUUACUGUUCCCAUGCAAUACUGUGAAAACAUCAGCAGGCUCCUGCUUUCUUACCCCCUGAACACAAUGCUGCUUUUUCCAGGAGUGGAUCCAACAUAUCUCAAAACCUCCUCAGGAACUAUGUGUUUCCCAAGGAUUACCUGCACUUGCUUAUACACCCCUAUUCUGUGUCCUGAAAACUUUUCAAAGCCCAUUCAUCUGAGACUGGUGAGUUCAGGACAGUAGUCCCAAGUGUCUUGUCCUACGCUGACAGUUCAUUCUCAUGAGGCAUCACUUACACUUGACAGAGUAUUUUUCGAAGGGGCAUUGGAUGUGCAGGAGAAUUGUGUGUGCUGACUCCUGUCAGAUCAGCACAGGAUAGCAUCAAGGCCCCAUUUGCUCUUGAUUUUGGAACUCAUGGUCUUGGCACUGUCUUGUUGGUAUUUAGGUCCCUGUCAGUCCCUAAUUGAAUUUUAGCAUGGGAACCCAGGGCAGUUGUCUUCAAAGAUAUUCCUAGUAUGGUCCACAUCUUCACCUUGCCAGACAUAAAGCACAACAAAACACCAGGCAGGCAGAGAACCCUCAGGGGCUGGAACUGGAAUGUUCAAACACUCUGGCUUGACCUUGGCCAGCACAGAUUCAGAGAACAUCUUCUAUGUAGGAAGAUCUCCUUCUCCUCUCAGAGUUUAGGACAUCUAGAGUUAGGCUAAGGUGCUGGCACAAUGUGAGCAGAGGCAGCACUCUGGGCUUGUUCAGUGUCAAAGCCUCCCUGCCACCCCUGUAUCACAGUCACAGCAGCCCAUCUCAUGAGAAUUCUAGGGCUGCUGAUAUCCUGGAUGAAUAAUCCAUGUUCUGCUGCUAGUUUCUUUGCUUCCACAUGGAUAACUGAGAGAAGGGAUUGAUUAAGUGUAGGUGAGGAAGCCCUGCAAAUAUCUACUUGGUGUUACCAAAGACAAUGGGUUCUGACUGGCAAGAUCUUUGAAUUAGAUUUUGAAAAAUGCCACCUAGGAACAGUUAGUAGGUACUCUCAUGAAGGUACAGCAUGGUGGGCACUAUGGGACAGGAUCCCUGAGGCUGGUGCAGUGGGACAGGGUCGUUGGGGCAGGUAAAACUGAGUAGGAAACGUGAGCCAGGAACAACCGGGCAGGGACCCUGGUUCAGUUACAACAGAGCAGGAAUCCUGGGGGAGAUGCAAGGGGGCAUGAGUCCUGGGGAAGGGAUCUUGUAGUUGUGGCCCUGUGGCAUGUGCAACAGACAGGGACCCUGGGGCAGGUGCACUGUGACGUGCACCCAAGCUGGAAUGUUCAGACAGGUGUGUGUUUGCUUCAUGCAGCUGCUGUCUGAAGUAGAGAACACUGGCAUCUGCCCCAGAGGGGAUUUUGGGAACUCCUUCCAAGAAUCCCUUAGCUCCUAACUGAGAAGCUAUACAUUCCACAGAUGGACCUUUAUUGAGAUGAGCAGAUUCUAAGGGAGCUGCCUUGAAUGAACAGCCAAAGAAAGCAGAAAUGAAAUACAAGCAAUUGCAGCAGACAUGUUCAGUGUGUUUUUGACCUGAAAAGUAGGACUGGAAGAAACUGAUUAAGUCAAAUCACUUCUCUGUCUGUCCAUCCACCCACCCAUCCAUCCAUCCAUCCAUCCAUCCAUCCAUCCAUCCAUCCAUCCAUCCAUCCAUCCAUCCAUCCAUCCUUCCAUUUCCCUGAGGGAAGUCAGCUUUUAUUCCUGAGAAGGUCAAAGCAGCGCUCACUUGUGGUGACAAUGAGGAUUGCAGGCAGUGAGAUAAGUGGAUAUUUAUUUAUUUAUUUAUUUAUUUAUUUAUUUAUUUAUUUAUUUAUUUAUUUCAUGAUCUGCGAUAGACUGCCACUUGUGGCCAGUCCCCAUCUGCAUCAGCUGUACCAUGAACCCAGUCUCAGUGUGACACAGAAAAGGCCUAAUUGGAAAGUAUGUCCUCUCUCUAAGCGACACUGUAUAAUAAGAUACUCUGGACUGCAGGUCAGUCAAGGCCUGUGUUUAGGAGACUUGUGGACAGAUGAAUGUCUGUGAGUCUGGACUUAGACUCUGUGGAGGGCUCAGGUCACCUGACUGUCCUGAAGUUUCCCACUGUGAUUUAUUUCCCUCCUACAGAGCCAGACACCUGAGCAACUGCAUUUCCUGGUUAUCCCCUAAUCCUCUUACACUGUGUAGAGUGUUCAAUAUCAGGGAGGGCCUGGGAAUCUGAGAGACACCACUGAGCCCCCUGGGCCUGGCUGACUCAACUUGAGUCUACUCUGUGUGUCUUCAUUUUGCUCACUAUCCAGAGACCUCAAAAGGCAGCAGUGAGCUUGCUGAGAGGAAAGGAGCCCCCAUAUUGGCCCAAAAGCAACUGUCCUCUUUUACAGGUUCAUCCACAGAGCAUGUAAUUUUGAUUGAUGCAACAUCGGGAAGAAUGAAUGACAUCAUCUCCCAAGGGCAAGUGCUGUGCUAGUAUACACUGAGGAGCUGCAGGGAUCAGACCCCCUUUCCAGCCUCUCUUGUUCUUCCUUGUGAUGGUUCCUGCAGAUCUGAAAGAAUCAGGCAGUAUAUGACAUGGGUUUGAAUAUAAUCUCAUUACACUUUAUUCCCUGCUCUGAAUCUAAGACCAGGUAAUUCCUACGUUUGUUUGUUUAUUCAUUUAUUCAUUUGAUAUAUAUAUGUGUGUGUGUGUGUGUGUGUGUGUGUGUGUGUGUGUGUGUGUGUGUGUCUGUAUACAUAUAUACAAUGUCGCUGUCUUUAGAAAUACCAGAGAGGGCAUCAAAUCUCAUCAGAGAUAUUUGUGAGCCACAAUGUGGUUGCUGGCAUUUGAACUCAGGACUUCUGGAAGAGCAAUCAGUUCUCUUAACACUGAGCAAUCUUUCCAAUUUCCAGUCUAACUUUCUUAAUUCCAGUACUGUAUUCUUUAUUUAGGUUACAUCCUGAUCCCAGCCACUCUCCCUCCCCCUUUCCCAGUGCCACCUUACAAAUCCUUCUCAUCAUAAUGCUCUCCCUUCUCUUUGUAGAAGGGCAGACUCCCUAGGUACCACCCCGCCCUGGGGCAUCUACUCCCAACAGUAUGAAGCACCCCCUGUCCCACAGAUUUACAAUCAGGCUGCCCAGGUAUGGGGAAGGGUUCCCAUGGCAGGCAAGAGAGACUGUAACAGUCCUGGAUCUACAUGUCAGAUGACCCACAUGGAGACCAACUGCAGAUAGCUACACCUGGCCCUGGGGUUGGUUGCCCAGGCUCUAGCAUACUCCAUGGUCCAAGGUAUCUGACUAUAGGGGACUUCUUGAAGUGUUUUUAACCCCUCUAGUCUGCUCACCACUCUCCCCCACUCUUCCACAAGACUUCCCAAGCUCCAUCUGAGGACUGACUGUGGCCUUUAGCUGCUGAGUGAAGCCUCUCCAGAGACAGGUGUGCUACUUUUCUGUCUGCAAGUAAAUCAGAGUAACGUAAGUACUGUCAGAGGUUGUCUCUGUCACAUGAGAUGGAUCUCACUUUGGGGCAGUCAUUGAUUGGUUGGUCCCUCAAUAUCUGCUUUACCUUUAUCCCUGCACACUUAUUGGCAAAAAAGAUUUUGAGUUGAAGGUGUUGUGAGUGCAUUGAUGUCCUCUUCCUCUUCUAGAAGUUCUUUCUUGCUACAGGAGGUGGCCAUUUCCAUCUUCUGCUCCAGUAGGAAUCUAAGCUAGAGUCACCCCGUAGACUCCCCCAUCCUCUCCCUUACCAGGCAUCCAGCAAGUCACCAGAGAUCCCUGGACACUCCUGCCCAGACAAUUUGUAAUCUCACUCCUAGCCCUCUUCCAAACCCCUCUCCCUAGACCUGACCAGCAUUUCCAUCUCCUUUCCUGCCUCUUCUCUUACCCUGUUCCAUCAUUUCAUCCUUCUUAGACUAUUUUGUUUCUCCUUCUUGUGAGAUCCACACCUCCUCACUCAGGUCCUCCUUCUUCCUUCAUGCCUAUCAACCUGUUAUCCUGCACUUUAUGGUUAAUGUCCACUCAUAAAUGACAUACAUUUUUCUGUGGUUCUGGGUUACCUCACUCAGGAUAACAUUCUGAAGUUCAUCCAUUUGCUUACAAAAUUCAUAAUGUAUUUAUUCUUAAUAGCUGACGAGUAUUCCAUUGUGUAGAUAUACAAUAUUUCCUGUAUCCAUUCUUCAGUAGGGGGACAUACAGGUUGUUUUCAGUUCUUGGACAUUACAGGUAAAACCACUAUUAAAAUAGUUCAUCAAGUGUCCUUGUGGGAUGGUGGGUCACCAUUUGAUUAUGUGUCCCAGGGUUGUUUUGCUAAGUCCAGAUGAAAACUGAUUCCCAGUUUUCUGAGAAACUGCCAAUAUGAUUUCGAAAAUGGAUGUACAAGUUUUCAAUCCAAGCAGCAAUGGAGGAGUGUUCCCACUAUUCCACAUCCUCAUCACCAUGUGCUGGAUGUCACUUUAGAUUUUUAUUUUAUCCAUACUGAUGCACAUAAGUUGGAAUCCCAGGGUGCUUUUGAUUUGGAUAUACCUGAGGACCAAGGAUGGUGACCAGUUCUUUAAGUGGCUCUUGGCCAUUCAAAGUUCUGCUGAUGAAUUUAUCUCUUCAGCACAUUAUUAGGUUAGGAUAUUUGGUCUCUUGUAGUUUCAAUUGUUAUUUAUGUAAUUUUAAUAUUAGCCUUUUGUGCACUAUAGGGUUGGUGAAGAUCCUCUUCCAACCUGUAUGCAGACAUUUCUAUUAAAUGUUUUGUUUUACUUACAGAAGCUUUUCAGUUUCAUCAAGUUUCAUUUAUUAAUUGUUGAUCUCAAUAUCUGAGCGCCAUUGGUGUUCUGCUCAGGAAGUUGUCUCCUGUACCAAUGUGCUCAAGCCUAUUUCUCACUUUUUCUUGUAUCAGAUUUGAUGUAUAAGGUUUUAUUUUGAGGUCUUUGAUCCACUUGGACAUGUGUUUUGCACAGGUUUAUAGAUAAGGCUCAUUGCAUUCUUCCCUAUGCCUAUAUCCAAUUAGACCAGCACCACCUGUUCAAGAUGCUUUCUUAUUUUUUGUCAUAUGAUUUUGCCCACUUUAUUGACAAUAAGCAUCCAUACUUGUGUGGGUUUAUUUCAGGGUCUUGGAUUUCAUUUUAUUGAUCAGCCUGCCUGUUCCUAUACCAAUACUGUAGUUUUAUUGCUAUAGCUCUGUAGGACAGCAGUAAAUCAGAGAUGGUGAUUCCUCCCGAAAUUCUGUUAUUGUUCAGGAAUGUUUUAGCUUUCUUGGGUUUAUGAAAUAUUUCACUUGAAGUUGAGAAUUUCACUGUUAAGGUUUGUAAAGACUUGUUUUGGUAUUUUAAUGGGUAUUGCAUUCAGUUUCUGAUAUCUUUCAAUUGCUUUUUUUCAGAGAUUUAAAAUUUUUGUCAUACAGAUCUUUCACUUUCUUAGAGUUACACUAAGACAUUUAUAUUAUUUGUUGCUAUUGUAAAGAGCAAUGUUUCCCUAAUUUAUUUGUCAGCCCCUUCAUUGUUUGUUUAAAAGAAUGGUACUGAUUUUUUUAGUUAAUGUUGUAUCCACCUACUUUACUGAAGGUAUUUAUCAAAUAUAGGAGUUCUGUGAUAGAAUUUUUGGGGGCUCUUGUACAUACUAUGAUAUCAUCACAAAUGCCAAUAUGAUAUCUUCUUCCCUUCCAAUGCAUAUCUCGUUUUUCACAUUUAGUUGUCUUAUUCCUCUAGCCUGAACUUCAAGAACUAUAUUGAAAUGUUAGGGGGAGGGUGGCCAGCCACGCCCUGCCCCAGAGUUUAUGGGAAUUAUUUUAAGUUUCUCUCUAUUUAGUUUGACAUUGGCUAGUGGACUGCUGUAUAUUACUUUGUGUUCAUGUAUUCUUCUGUAUCCUUCUCUCUGUGUAAGUUUCACAUGAUGGACUGUCACGUUUUGCCAAAGGCCUUUUCAGAAUCUACUGAGAUGAUCAUGAGAUUUUUUAAACUUAAUCAAUUUAUUCAUUUAAUUUCAAAUGAUAUCCACUUCCUUGUUGCCCCUCCGCAAUCACCCAUUCCAUCCUCCCCAUGCCCCUCAGCUUGGCGUCUAUGAGGGAGCUCCUCCACUCUCUCCCCUACUCCCGCCUGACCACUCUAACAUUCCCCUAUGCUGGCAUAUCAAACCUCCACAGGACCAGGGGCCUCCUCUCCCAUUGAUGUCAGUGAAAGCCAUGUAUCUGGAGCCAUGGUUCCCUCCAUGUGUAUUCUUUAGUUUUUGCUUUGUUCUUCGGAGCUCUGUGUGUCCACUAACCUGAUAAUGUUUUUCUUAUGGGGCUGAAUUCCCUCAGGUCCUUCAGUCCUUCACCUAGCUCUUCCAGUGGGUUCCCCAGGCACAGUCUGAUUGUUGGCUGUAAUUAUCUACAGCUGUAAGGGUCAAGUGCUGGUACAACCUCUCAGGGAAUAGCAAUAGCAGGCUUCUGUCAGUAAGCACAUCUUGACAUCAGUAAUAGUGUCUCAGUUUGGUAUCUGCUCAUGGGAUGGAAUCCUAAGUGGAGCACUGAAGGAAAGGUAUGGCCUUUCCUUCAGUGUCUGUUCUAUUUUUUUAUUGUUGUCUUUUCUUUGGACUUGAACAUACCUAGGUUAGAAAUUUGAAAUGAGGAGUUGGGGAUUUAGCUCAGUGGUAGAGCGCUUGCCUAGCAAGUGCAUGGCCCUGAGUUCGGUCCCCAGCUCCGAAAAAGAAGAAAAAGAAAAAAAAUUUAGGAUGAUUGUGUGGCCCCUUUGCCUAUGUGGGGCUGUGUCUAUCUAGUGGAGGUGUCUAUACAGAUUGCAGGUCCCCCUUGUUGCAUACGUCAGAUAAAGUCAACCUUUUGCAUCCUGGGGGACUCUCACUACCCUAACAUCUGGGACUUUGUAGUGGCUACACCCAGUUCAUCAUUCCCCACUGCUACAUACUUUUAAUCAAUUUCCUGAAACUCUAAUUCGCUCAUGUCUUUUCUAUCACCUGAUCCUGUCCUCCCCAAAACCCUGCAUAUGUAUCUACCACUACUCUCUUGCUCACAGGUCCCUGCCUUGCUCUACCUCCUGUGAUUAUUUUGUUCCCUGUACUAUGUGGGAAUGAACAUCCACACUUUGGUCUUCCUUCUUCUUUUUUUUUUUUUCGGAGCUGGGGACCGAACCGAACCCAGGGCCUUACGCUUCCUAGGCAAGGGCUCUACCACUGAGCUAAAUCCCCAACCCGGUCUUCCUUCUUCUUAAGCUCCAUAUGGUUUGUGAGGUUUAUUGUGGCAUAUUGAGCUUUUGGGGGUAAUAACAACUUAUGAGUUUGUACACAGCUUGUGUCUGGGUUACCUCUCUCAAGUUUAUAUAUUUUAGAUCUAUUCAUUUCCCUGUAAUUUCGUGAAGUCAUUGUUUAUACUAACUUGGUAGUACUCUAAUGUGCAAAUGCAUCUCAAUUUCUAUAUCCAUGCUUCCAUUGAGGUACAUGUGGAUUGGUUACAACGUCUAGAUAGUAUAAAUAAGGCUUAUAUAAACAUAAGGGAGCAUGGGGCCUUGUUAUAUGUUGAAACAUCUUUGAGGAUUUAUGUCUAGUAGUGUUAUAGCUAGUUGUUCAUGUAGAACUAUAUUUAAUUUUCUGAGGAAGCACUGAAUUGAUUUCUAAAGUGAUUUUACCAGCUUGCAGUUCUACCAGCAGUAGAAGAGUGUUGCUCUUUCUCCACAUCCUUGCCAGCAUUUCCUGUCACCUGUGGUUUUGAUCUUAGUCAUUGCUGUGCUGGGGAUUGUGAGGGUCAUUUUGAUUUACACUUCCCUGAAGAGGAAGGAUGUUGAACACUUCUUUAAGUGCUUCUCAUCCUUUCAAGGCUCCUUAGUUGAGAAUUCUUUGUUUAGCUCUGUACACCGUUUGAAAAAUAUUGUUUUUGGAUUUUUGGAGACUAACUUCUGAAUUUUUGUGUAUUUUUUAUAUUAGCUCUCUAUCAAAUGUUGGAUCAGUUGAGAUCUUUUCCAAAUCUCUGGAUUGCCAUUUUCUCCUAAUGAUUAAGACCUUUGCCGUACAGAUACUUUUCAAUUUUAUGAGGUCCCAUUUGUCGAAUGGUGAUUUUAGAACAUAAGCCAUUGGCAUUCUAGUCAGAAAUUUUCCCCUGUGCCAAUGUGUUUGAGGCUCUUUCCCACGGUCUCUUCUAUUAUAUUCAGCAUGUCUGGUUUUAUAUGGAGGUUCUUGAUCCACUUGGACUUGAACAUUGUACAAGGAGUUGAGAAUAGGUAAAUUUGCACUCUUUUCAUGCUCACCGACAGUUCAACCAACACCUUUGGUUGAAAAUGCUGUUUUUUUUAAGCCAGAUGGAUUUGGCUUCUUUGUCACAGAUUAAGUUCCCAUCCAUGUGUAGGGUUAUUUUCUGGGUUGUACAUUGUAUUACUUUGAUCUACUUUCCUGUCCCUGUACCAAUAACUGUUUGUUUUUUAAAAUUAUUACUCUGUAGUACAGGUUGAAGUCAGGAAUGCUGAUCUCCCAGAAUUUCUUUUAUUGUUGAGAAUAUUUGCCCUAUCCUGUGUUUUUUUUGUCAUUCUAGAUGAAUUUGAGAAUUGCUCUAACUCUAUGAGGAAGUGAGUGGUAAUUUUGACGGGGAUUGCAUUGAAUCUAUAGACAGCUUUUGGUAAGAUGGCCAUUUUACUCUCUUUAUCCCGCUAAUCCAAGAGCAUGGGAGAUCUUUCCAUCUUCUGGGGUCUUCUCCAAUUUCUUUCAUCGGAGACUUGUCCCUGUUGUACAGAUCUUUCACUUGCUUGGUUAGAGUCACGCUGAGGUAUUUUAUAUUAUAUGUGACUAAUGUGAAGGGUGCUGUUUCCCUAAUUUUUCUCAGCCCAUUAUUUUUUUGAGUAGGGGAAGACAGCUGAUUUGGUAGAGUGAAUUUUCUAUCCAGGCACUCUGCUUAAGUUGUUUAUCAGCUGGAGGAGUUCUGGUACAAUUUUUUCUGGUCACAUGUUUAUACUACCAUUUCAUCCACCAAUAGUGAUAUCUUAACUUCCUCCUUCCCAAUGUGUAUCCCUUUGAUCUCUUUUUGUUCUCCUAUUGCUCUGUCUAUAAACUCUCGUAAUAUAUUGUAUAGAUAGGGGCAGAGUGGGCAGGCUUGCCUUGUUCCUGAUUUUGGUGGGAUUGCUUCAAGUUUCUCUACUUUUUGUUUGGUAUUGGCUGUUUGUUGUAUAUGGUUAUAUAUUUACGUAAGUAUGAAUGUGUAUGACCAAAUACAUAUAUAUAUAUAUAUAUAUAUGUGUGUGUGUGUGUGUGUGUGUGUAUGGACAUUCAUUCAGGUUAUAUGUCCUCUCCCCUUGUAACACUGAAUUACAUUAAUCAGGGUUGUUCUAGCUUUCAGUAUUAUAAAGGGGAAAAGUUUGUGGAAAUGGUGUACUUUUAAACUACCCCCAUAGUUAAGCAGGUUUACAUGGCCAAAACAUUUAAAUUCUGAUGCUUAAUGAAAUUGAUUACCCUCACUUUGUUAUUUUCUUUCUCCCUUAUAAGUGUGGCUAUGUUGGACCACCAUAUACAUCUGUGUACAUAGGUGCGUGUGGAGGCUUGCCCUGAGGUUGACGGAAAUUAUCCUCUAAUUACUCUCCCUUGCUCAAUGAAAGAGAGUCUCUCAAUGACUAAGCUGGCUGCCUGUUCUUCCUAGCAUUUAUGUAAUCAUCAGUUGAUCACUGAGCCAUCAGUAGUGCACAUAUUUAUUUUUGAAAGUCACAGUCAAGAGUUUAUUUUGCCCCUUUUCUGCAUGGAAUUCUUUAUUGGUUCAUUACUCUUUUGAUAUAUUUUAAGUUGUACUCAUACCUUUUUGGCCAGGUUGGUUAUAGGGUUAUUCCACAAAUCCUGCCCUUUUCUUUGAACUGACAUUUAGUUGAUGAGCAAAGAUUGGAUUUUAAAGUUCUGCUCAGACCGUAGAGUAGGUAUAGUUUGUUUCAGCCAGAAUACAUAAAAUAACUGAAAUAAUGUGCAAAAAUGAACAGCUCUCACUGAAACAUUAAAAUUUAGAUGAAAAUUUAGUUAGGCUAGUUAGUUGUAUUUUUAUGUAUAAUCUUUUGUGUUCUGCUCUUGUCCAGCCAAGAUGCACACUUAUCUGGCAGUUCUGGAGAUCAUGAAAACCUGAUGUUUAAAGAGCGUCCACACAUCUUCUCAAAAAGUCAUGAUGUGUCUGACAAAGUGGAAGCUUCUCGUAAAGUAACAGAGUUUAAGAAUGAACUGAACACUAAGUGAGAAGAGAGAGGUCACCUGUACUCAAGCAGGUCUGACCUUGGCAGUGGAAUUGUGGGGUGGGCCUGAAGAGGAAGGAACAAAUGUACUUCUAAGUGAUGUUUAAUUUCUUUUUCUGAAAUGGUUGCAAUUGAGAGAUGUUCCACAUCCAAGAAAUUUUGUCUUACUUUACCAAGAAAAAUCCUGCCUAGUUCUUAGUGAUCUGACUAAGGUGAAGUUACCCGUUCUUGUUAGCUUUGGCACUCUUGGACCCAGAAGGCAGAAUGAAGGGCUUUAAAGAUGACAGGGUGUUUCCUCUACCCUACCUUUUUCAUUGUCAUUCCAAGGGCAGUAGGCCUAGAUAUUAUCUUUCUGUUCUUUCUCCAAACUCCAUUUUCCUACCAGACAGUGAUAGCCGAAAAUUUCAGAGCACUACUGUGUCAUAAUGGACCUUGUCUGCAGGAGACAGGCCUCUCCGCCUAGGGCAUUCCUGUGUCAUUGGGGACCCUGUAUGCAGGAGACAGGUCUCUUGGGGCAGGUGAAAUGUUGCCUGUACGUUCUUUAAGUUACAUGAGUGGGCUACAAGUAGUUUUUUAUGUAAGGCGCACAACACAUCAUUCAUCUAAAAUGUGAGCCUCCUGAUCCAAUGUAAAUGUUUGAGAUUGAAUAUCUAAUUCAUAAUUUAAUUUCCAAAAUUCUAGAGAAAGGCUUCAGAUUUGAUGCUAGGGAUUUUAUUUUUAUCAAUUCAAAUCACCAGAACACUAAUCAUUGGUGGAAAGCAAAGGUGACAGUUCUGUUAGAGAGUUAACUAAUACUUCAGAGGUUCCAAAGGCUCUAGAACUCUCACAGCAUUACACAGCAUUCUUUCAGGUAGGAACAAAGAAGUCUGAGAUAAAUGGGAGCUCAUGGGUGGCUGUCAAGCACAGCUAUCUCAGAAGUUGUAAAUUUAGUAAAGAGAUUUAUAAAAACUGUCAGGAAAGGAAGAAGCGUGUUGCUCUGCACCCUGUGACUUAAGUGCUAUAAGAAAACUUGUGUCAGUUGAGUCUGCAUCUCUUUCUCAGCCUAACAGAUUUAUUUAAUUUUAAUUCCUGUAUUUUGCAUCCUCACUCCUCAGUUGAGCUAUGGGAGAAAGGCCUCAGUUUGCUUAUUUUGUGUGAAAGGUGACUUUAUGAUUUCAACACAUUUUCUUUUUCAGAAUCUCUAAUGUGGUUUCAGAAGAACUUUCCGUUCCAUAGAAAUCUGUGCAUCAGGGAAAUAAUCACAAUUUUUAAAAAAACGGAAGCAUUUGAAACCUAAAAAUUCUUUUUAAUAAGAGCUGUUCGAUCAAUUGUUGAAAUACAACCAUUAGUAUUUUUUACGUUUAUCGAGUUUCCUAUUUGAAAGCGUGUCUUUGCUUUUUCCUCUGUAAGAGAAUAGAAUGUCCCAGAGAGCUGAUGAAGGAUUUGCACACUUGUCUUGCCCAGGAAGUGCAUUCUCCUUGUGUCUGCAGCACAUGGGCAGCCUUCGAUAGCAUAAAAAUACCUCCCGAAGGUGAGCAGGUACCUGCUGUCCCUAGUCUAUGGGAAGACAGAUGCACUCAAGAACCUGCAAGCAUCUGAAAACACUGCAUGUGUGUUUGUGAGACCUGUAGUGAAGUAGACUUGGCCAUCCCUGGACAGUGAGGUCAGAUGUGAAUAAGUGUUGCAAGAGCACAUUGAAUAGCGUACACUACUGUUGGGAAAUGUUUUCCUAAGGCCUGGACUCCCCAAACUACGCACUGAUAAGCCCAUUGCCUUAAAGGUCUUCUGGUCAUUCACGUUUCAAAUGUAAGUGGCCACUCAGUACUGAUGGAAGGAAGGUAUGUUUUAUUAUCAUGGCACAAGAUACACUGAUCAGUUCCAGCAGGCUGAAGGGUCAGUGGGAUGUUGUGUCCCCUCACCCUCAUGACUACUGUGCUUUAGCACGGGGAGCAGGACAGUGUCCAAAUCUCAGGGUUUGGGUGAAAUGUAAGGAUGGAGUUGGGAAGUUGCUGGUCAAAGGAUGUAAAGUUCAGAUGAACAGGGAAUGACUUUGAGUACUGUUACCUGUAGCCUAUGACACUCAGCAGUGUCCUAUAAAUAAUGCAAAGGAACUUUAAGAAAGGGGAAGCAUGUUUGAGGGUUUAAAAAGCUUGUGGGGAACUUUUGUGGAAGAACAGAACUUAUAUAUUGGGAUUAGUGUUUGGAUUUGUAUAGUUUAAUUUACUUUAUUUUAAAAAUUCUGUAGAGACAUCCCUUAGAAACUAGAUUUGGUGCUGACCCAGGACCAUGUCUUCUUGUGCUCCCUGUCCUGUGUGGGAUUUGUGGCUCAGGCCUACUGUGGCCCCUGGUCUCUGUACCACUUCAUUUUCUGCCAAAUCCUACAUGAGUCUUCCUUUGCCCAUUCCCAGGUAAUAAAGUGAUUUCAGAAACAGUUAUACUCAUGAAUUUAUUAUACAAUUAAGCAGAAUAGGGUGGUUGAUUGACUUGGCAGAAGAAAUUUUCAUCUCCUAAACUGUCAAGUGAUUUGUUUGUAUAAGAAUUUUUUUCAACCUGUUCACUCACAGCGCUGGGAGGUAAGUGCCAGUCUUGAGAUUGCCUAAACGUUUUAAACAGUAUGUAGAUAGUACUGCCCCUACUCACCCUGUGAUCCCAGGCAGUCACAUACAGGAAAGGCUGGGGGAUCAGGAGACAUCAUCAGACCACAGGUGUGGAUAAAUGUUAAAGUGUGAGAUGAACACAGAACCUGCGGGGCCUGAUUGAAGGACCCUAUAAGACAUUGUCUGUGUGGUAGACUCUCCUGAGAUGGUAGAGUGGAAGGGGUAGGGCCUCCUCCAUUACAAGUCUCAGGGGGCAGGAUCGCCAGUGGGCUGGGAAAGGGAUGCCUCUAGGUGAGAUGGGUAUUCGAUGCCACAGUAAAUUAAUUUGUAUUUUACAAGCACUGUAAAUGCGAAGGAUCCUGAAAGGUACCCUGGAAAACUUCAGUGUAUGGGCAUAGAGCUCAUGCUCAUGAGUGGCCAAUGAACAAUACCCGCCCCUCCUCUCGGAUUUAGCCACGCCCUUCAUUAGUUCCUGAGGGGAUUUUUCAGAACAGAGAUUAUGGCAGUUUCAGCAUCGAAUUCCAGUGAGUAUGAGGGGAGCCCAUGGAGUUUGAAACCACUCCUUUCUGCUCUCAGGGAUUUGGGAAAAAUAAGAGAAUUUGGGUUGGCUUAGUAGCACUAUUUUGUGAGUCUUAGCUUGAGUUCCCUCGGGAUGGAGACCAACUGCUUCUUUUUUGAAUCUUAGGGAAGUUGACCUGUUUUCUCCCAACUGUCCUUAUGGCUCCUUCCUCCAUCUCCCGCUUGGGGCCUCUGUGGACUCUCAUUUGCUGCAUCAGCACAUCAAGGUCCCCUGACUUGGCACCUCCUUAUGCUGAACAUCAGCAGACUCCAUACUGAGUAGGAUUUGGGAUGUAACCCUACUCCUUGCCCUCUUAGAGCACACUGCAGAACAAAUAGAUUGAUAAAAGUGAACAAAAAUAUAAACAUCAUGUGUGGUAAUGGCUCACAAGCAGAGAGUCUGAACCUUACAGAAGCCCCACCUAAGAUUUAUGAACAGGAAACCGGGAAGGGGAAUGACAUUUGAAGUGUAGGUAAAGAAAUGUAUCUAAUAAAAAAUUAAAAACCAAAAACAGACAAACAAACAAAUAAAGAAGACUAUGCUGUCAACAUAAUCAGAAAGAAAAAUGAUCUGAUCUGCCUCUUUUUUUUUUUUUUUUUUUUUUGGGUCACCAUGAUUUCCAUAGUCAAUGGAGUUCAGAUAACUGUAGGAAUGCAUUUUAUGGUUUAGAGGCAGUGAUAGGAUCAUUCCUUUACUUAUGCUCCCCCUACUAGUUUUCUCACACAUAUCUCAUCAAGAUUUAAGCUGUUAUGCAUCCAUAAAACUUAAUGCUUACUAAAUCAAUUUAACUUUCCUAUUCUUUUCAUCUUCUUUAAUAUUCCUGGUACCUAAAUAAUACAAUCCUGUCAAAGGUGUUUCAAAUUCAACUGGUAGACUGAUAUGCCUCUUAAAACACAUGACUUAGGAAACAAGCUAACCUACAUUAUGGCUGAUUGGUGCAUCGAAAAACAGAUUAAUUCUAAAUUAAAUAUAGUAGAAUAUUUAAAAUAGUCCUGCUUUAAUUUUUGUAAUCAUAUCAAACUUUAAAUAUAGGAUUAUGAAGCCUGUGAUUUGACUGUACUAUACUGCAUUCUCCAUAUAGAUUUUUACAUAAAUUACUGAAAAUUUCUUGGAAAAAACUUAUUAUGUGAGCACCUUUAUAACUAAUACCACUGGGGCUUUUCCAUUUAAUGGCAUGUGAACCGUAUGUUUAAAUACAGGUAAAAGUAGAUUUACACUUAGCAGCCAACUAAGUAACCUGGAUGUAGUCACUUACAUUCAACUGAGUAGUUGCUUGUAAAAGGGAGCGCAAACUGCAGAUCAGGUAUUUCAAGGAGCUCUCUUGGUAUAAACAUAGCCCUAGCUAAUUUGGCCAUAGGGAAUUCAUGGUCUUUCUGAUACUUGAUCAGUCCAAGCCAAAAUUCUUACACAAAAGUUCAGGAUGCAGUUCCUCCUGUCCCUAUGUCUUUUUUUUUUUUUUUAUUAACUUGAGUAUUUCUUAUUUACAUUUCGAUUGUUAUUCCCUUUCCCAGUUUCUGAGCCAACAUCCCCCUAAUCCCUCCCACUCCCCUUCUCUAUGGGUGUUCCUCUCCCCAUCCUCCCCCAUUACCGCCCUCCCCCCAACAAUCACAUUCACUAGAGGGUAGAGUCUUGGCAGGACCAAGGGCUUCCCUUUCCACUGGUGCUCUUACUAGGCUACUCAUUGCUACCUAUGAGGUUGGAGCCCAGGGUCAGUCCAUGUUUAGUCUUUGGGAAGUGGCUUAGUCCCUGGAAGCUCUGGUUGCUUGGCAUUGCUGUUCAUAUGGGGUCUCGAGCCCCUUCAAUCUCUUUCAGUCCUUUCUCUCAUCUGAUCUGCCUCCUAAAAUUCAGUUUUUAGCAGGUGUGCUUCCUGACCAGAGAAGUCAGAUGACGGCAUGAGCAGCCCCUUAAAAGACAAGGCUUGGAUUGGCAGUAGCAGACAAGGAACUCUGUGGGCAUACUCCAAGGAAACUGGACCUCCUCUGUCACAGGACAUCCACUGUUUAAGCACCACCACUACCUCAGGAAGUCCACUGUCUGUGUGUCAACUCCACUGUUACAGGACCACAAGUGUCUCAGCACUUCAACUAUCACAGCAAUUCUACUGUUCAGUAGCUCAAGAGUCUCAGCAUCUCAAGUGUCACAGGACCUCCUUUGUCCAAGAACUGGACUGUCCAAGCAACACUACUAUUGCGGGACCUCCACUGUCACAGGACUUCCACUGUAGGAGCACUACAACUGUCUAAGGACACCCACUGUCCUAUCACCUCCACUAUCCCAGGAAUUCCACUGUCGUAGCACCACCCAUAGCAACUACAGUGUUUCAGGACAUCAACUGAAGCAAGAUCUCCCAUGAUGCUUCAACUUCACUGCCACAGGAUCUCUACAGUGACAGGAAUACCCCUGUAUCAUCAAUUCCAAUUUUGCAGGACCUCCACUGUAGCAGAACCUUCAAUUGUGCAGCAGCUCCCCUGUAGGUAGAUUGACCGCCACAAUCUCAGUGCCUACACUUUCAAAGGACCUUCACUGUCACAGAACCGGCACUAUUUCAGUGCCUCCACUGUCGCAGGACCUACCUCUUCACAGGAUCUGCACUGUUGCAGCAACUGUAAUUUCAAUUUUUCAAAGUCAUUGCUGGUUAUUAGAUUUCAGGCUAAAAGAAAUGAGAUGUUACUUUUGAUAGCAUAAGAAUUUGUUCUAUAGCUCUUGUGAUAAAUGCCGUGUGUGCUAGGACCAGUAACCUAUGGAAGCCUUCAUGAGCUCAUACCACUCUCCACCUCACUUUGUGGAAGCUGGUGUUUUUAGAGUGUGAUAAACUUCAGGUGAAUGGAUGCAGUCAGCUGCACCACGCUCUAGUGUGGGCUACACAGCAGUCAUAUUGAGUCCUUGCUGGGAAGAGAAGAAAUCCAGAAGAGGGAGAAGGCUUGGGUUGGGGGAAGAAUCAUAAAAUACUUAGAGGAUAUAAGAAGGUAAGAAUUAUGUGGAACUGGAAAACAGAGCCAGAGGAAGAAUGAGCACAGAGCAAACUGGGAAGGACAAAGUACAAAGGCACUUGGGUUUUGCCAUCUGCGUGUUCUCUGGACAAUCUCCUUGGUCCUCAUUUCUGGGAGAAAACUCUUCCCCCACUCCCUUGUAAGGUUUCAUUCUUGAAGGAAAGCAGCAACACAACUUCAUCAGUAAAUUUCCCCACUGGAAUUGGUUCAUCCUUUAAUGCCUCUGGGAAAUCCCUAGCUGGGGAUGUCCUGCUCUCUGCUGAGAGACAGCAGGAAAGUAGGUCGUCCCCUGUUGUCGUUGCUACAGCUCUUCUAAGUGUGGCUGAUUGUUGAGUGAAGACACAGGAUACUUCUGGAGUGUAUGUAUGCUUUGUUCACUGUGGGUGUUGUCGGGAGUGUCCUGAAAAGAUGGGCAUGCCCAAUGGUACUUCUGCUUCUUCUGUGACUAGCCUUAUGAUCAUAGGGAGACACUAGGCCAUUGGAAGAUGAUGAGAACAAUGUGUCUAAGUUGUGUUCACUUCUAUUCCUAUUUAGUCCUAGAGGGAAAUCAGCAAGGGUGUGAGGAAUGCUGCUGUGCACUGACUGUGUGGUGUGAGGAAUGCUGCUGUGCACUGACUGUGUGGUGUGAGGAAUGCUGCUGUGUACUGACUGUGUGGUGUGAGGAAUGCUGAUGUGCAUUGAUGCUGCCUUUUUUUCUUUUCUCCCUACUCCUGCAUCCUUCUGGUGGCUCAGGUUGGACAACUAGGUGCCCAUGACCAACUCGUCAUUGUGGAUGGAUUUAGUCUGGUUGGACUUUCUCAGGAAAGGCAGCUGAACUCAUGACUAGUACCAGUUCCAUGGUUACCCUGGAAGUUGCAAAUCAAGGCAUCCUCUCUCACUUCCUGUCCACCUUUCUUACCCAGACAUUUUCCUCCAUGGUGCAGAGAGCACAGAUCUCAUCUGGUCCUGGAGAAAGUCCUUAUCCUGGUCUGUGGCGUCAGGAGACUUGUAGGGGUGCGUGAAGCCGACUUCUGGUACAUUUUUGUCUCUGGCUCAGUGCUAAACAUCCUGCCCUCAGUGUAUGAUGGGUAUGACAUGGCUCCUGCAUUUAAAGGAACGUUGUUAUGUUUAUUUUACUUGUCAUUUAAUGUGACACUUGGGUUUUUAACACGAUUUCUAAUAGAUCAGCCUCCUAUUCCUAGAGAGAAGUGUGCAUAUACCACUAGAACAGCAGCUAACAUCUGUCUCCACUGGAGACCUCUGCACUGAAGUCUGAGAUGAGCUGGAACACUUUCUUACUUGUGAAAUAUCUGACUUCUUUGAUACAGUUCUCAACAAAUUACAUUAACUAUCAUUCCUGAAUUUUGUUCACUGAAGUUUUAUUUUUAUUACGCUACUCAAGUAAACUAAUACUAAAUUAAUGAAUCUGGAAAAUGAGAAUUAGUGUAAAUGAGUAAAUAAGAAAAUGUGAAAUGUUUUUUAUUGAAAGCAUAGGGUCAACAUUACAUUUUUAGCACAGCAUUUAAAAUACAUGCUUUUUAGAAAACCGUUUAUUUAUUUCCUUUAUAAUCCAAUAUUAGCCCUUCCUGUCUUCCCAGUAACCCACCAUACAAAUCUUCCCUCCAUCGCCCUUUCCUGAAAUGGCAAAGCUCCUUUCGGGGUUUCAACCCCCUUGAAUGCUUUUUAAAAGAUUGUAAAACAGAUCCCUGAGGAAAAAGUAUGCCUUUUAUGCAGUUUCAAGCAUCUGAUUGUUUAUUUCUUUACAUUUCACAAGAACAGACCCCUCAACCUAGACCUGGUUAGGAGCUAAAUUGCAGGAGUGACAGUGCCACAAACAGCAUGCAUCAGUGUAUAGAAAAAUCUUUUUAUUCCUUCAUAGACACAGGAACAGCUGGCUACUUGGCGGGUGAGCCAUAAAGCAGUGUCAGGUCUGGUUAUUCACCCAUUCCCCAGUUUUUGUUACCUCCUCUGUGAGGAAGAAACAUGCAUGAAAUUUUGCUAACAUCUCUGGUGAGUCCCUGAAGUAGUAGAGCUUCCUCUUUUCUUUUCUCAGCCUCUUACCUCUUCCAAGGAAGAACUUCAGGAAGAGUUUUACCUACUUGAGCUCCAUUGAGUAGAGGCUGGCAAGGGUCUCUAGUGUGACAGUAAUAUGUGGAUCCAGAGCUCCUCAUUGGAAUCUAUGACAUCCAGACAGGAGCACCUGAACCCUUCCUCCAAGUCAGUUACCCCUGCUUCCACUCUGAAUAAGAGUGUUCCUGGCCAUUGGGAAACCCCAGCAGAGGUGCUGCCCACCACUGUCACUGUCUCCCAGCCCAUAUGAACAGACCUCCCUCCACCACCUCCUCUACCACAGGUCCACUACACCAGAUUUUGGCGGCAUUUUAGUGGAUUUGCCCCUCCCACCACCUUAUGCAAACAAGGCAGGAUCCCAGUCUGUUCAGGUGGCUGCUGGCUAGCAAAAGAGAGUGAGGAGCAGCAGCAGUGGUCUGAGAUAUAGGAGGCCUGCCUGGACAAGGAAGCAGAGAGGAAGCACAGGGAGCAGGAGAGGAAUGGGUGACAGAUGCACUCUCAUUCCCUGAACCUGCUUCCUUCUCAUCUUUGACCACACCGACCAAACCAGGAAAACCUUCCACACUGCAGAGGCCCCAAGAAACAGUCAUUCUGGUGUUGUAGUCCCCGCAGCAGCCCCCCACUAUUGAGCACAGGGAUCUGCAGUUCAUAACUAUCAGUAAAGAGGAGUUGUCCUCUGGGGAGUCUGUCUCCAGACCCAUGGAAACAAGAUGCCAGGGAGAAGCUGGAGAAGCAACAGCAAAUGCACCUUGUGGAUAUGCUAAGCAAGGAGAUCCAUGAGCUGCAAAACAAGGGGGACGGUAGUGCAGAGGAGAGUGACUGCCUGUGGAAGAAUAUGCUGGAGUGGCAGUUCCAGAAGAGACUUCAGACCAUAUUUCUUGUGUUUCUCCCAGGUUCAUUUCAGAAUACUGUUCAAGAAGCUCAACAUUUGACGUUUACAUAGUAGAAAUUUAUAACAACAAUGUUUUUGCCCUUCUGGCCUUAGACAGUUCUACAAUGGUGUCUAUGGUUAAGUGCCAGGCAGUGAGAACCCAGGAGCGACAUUCAGAGGUACAAAGGAUGACCUGCAGGUAAGGUGCUCCUGGGGCCCAGUGUCCUAAAUGCAGGUCCUCAACCUUACAGCUGCCCACUCCAGCUGUGCCUGGGAUGGAGCCAGUGCUACCGACCUAGGAGGCAUCUCAGGGAGUGUGCUUAGUAUGUGCCCCAUUGCUUCAGUGCAUGACAAGGUUAACCUGCAAGAGCAGCAAGGAUUUUAGCCAGCUCGCGUUCUGUAUCUGAGAAAGAACAUGUCUUUAAGAACAUCAAUAUGCUCACAUCUAGCACAUAUCAGCUUUAUAUGUCAAAGAUAUCAUAAUAAAGCUGUUUAAAACAUAAAAAGUUAUAGGGUAGCUCAAGUGUAGGAUAUACUGACCCUGAGUAUUAUAUCUAAUUACACACACAUACCCACACACAGAGAGAGAGAGAGAGAGAGAGAGAGAGAGAGAGAGAGAGAGAGAGAGAGAGCGCUACAAAAGUUGGAAAAAUAAACAAAUCUUAAAAAUAUGUAAAUAACUGUAAUUAUUAAAAGUCUGUAUGAGAGUCAAUGUUUUUCGCCUCGCAUUGAGGAAGGGGCUUAGAGAAAUGAAUUAUCCCCCUCCAACCUCCAAAAACAUACGCACACACACAAUCAAUGACAUGUGUAAUUGUACCAGGAAAUACCUGUAUUUUAUAGAAUGCCAUAAUGGAAAGUAAGAACCAUCUUUUUCAUUAAGGGUUGCCAAAAUAUUCUUUUUUCAAGGUGUGUGCAGCCGUGCCAGUCUUGUACACCAUGGGAUGGAAGAGGUCCCUGACCUGUGAGCCUAGAGGUGACCAGGUGCUCCAUUCUGAGACUGAGAAAGGCAGGAUGCCCACUCAAGGGUCCAUAGCAGGGAAGGUUUUCAAGCUAUGUACAGUGCUGGAAAAGCCUACACAGGGCAUACAGUUAGCAGUGAUGUCUUUGCAGGGAGUCCAAGGAACCAGCUUUGUACUGAUGCAGGUGGGCAAGCAUUUAUCAUCCACCUGCCACUCUGACAGCAAUAAGAGUAUUGCUUAAGUUUUAUUUCAUAGAUUUGAUCCCUGACCAAAAUACCAAAAACUGCACCCUUAACGAUGUAGCAAAUAGAAUAGUGGAUACUAGGCCAAGAACCUUUGACUCUUCUAAUACCAUUGUGUAUUUCAGAGCAAGGAAAGAGAGGUAUCAAUGGACAGCAGUCUGCUUUCCCCACGAGUGCUCUACCACUGAGUUAGUAGCCUUAGCCCUCCUCAGCUUUAGAAAAAGGGUGUGACUAAGUUGUCCAUGGUGACCUUGAACUCAUGCUGUAGACCAGGCUAGCCUUGAACUUCUGAUCCCCCUUCCUAUUGUGUGUCUUGAUUGUCUGUUAUUACAGGCCCAUUUCUCUACAGCUGACCAGCUUGCUUGCUUCCUCCUUUCUUUUCUUCUCCUUUCUAUCUCUCUCUCUCUUUCUUUCAUUCUUCCUUCCUUUCUCUCUCUCUCUCUCUCUCUCUCUCUCUCUCUCUCUCUCUGCCUUUCUUGAUUUUUUAUUCUUUCUUUUGUUCGUUCUUUCAUACUUUCCUUCCUGUCUUUCAUUCUUUAACUUUCUUUUCUUCCUUCUUUCAUUCCUUUGUUCCUUUCUUUUAAGAUUCAAUUAUUUGAGUGGUCUAUCUGCAUGUACAUCUGUGUGUCCAAAGAGGGCAUCAGAUCUGAUUAUAAUUAGUUAGUAUCCAUAAUAUGGUGACUGGAAUCAAACUCAGGACCCUUGAAAGUGCUUUGAAAGCCAGGCUCUGAACCACUGAGCCUGCUCUCCAGCCCCAGCCUAUUUUCUUAAACUUAGCACACUUGGUUCACAUGAGAAUUGUCUGUCCAUGAGCAAGAUAAGGUUAAUCAUAGCAAAGAGUGCUUAUCCCUUGCCAGAUCAACAUGGGGUCUCCUGUGACUUAUGCUGUCCUUUUCCAGGCCUGUCACCAGUGCCUUGGCGUUUGUGGGACUCAUCCACAGAGGCAUGCAACUCAGAGAACUGCACCCCAACUUGGUGCACAGGAACUCUUUCAGGUGUCACUUGAUUGUCACAGGUUUCUGCUCGGUGAGCAAGGAAGGGAAGCCUAGCCCUGUGCCAGGUCAGUUCCCAGAACAGAAGUUCAUUCAUGGCAAACCCAAGUGAUCAUUGCAGUGAGCGUUGGCGGUCUAGAGCCCACAUCAAGGAGGCCUUCCAGACUUUGGAAGUGGAGAGGGAGGGAAGAAAACAAAAGUAUAGCACACUCACACUUUGGAAGGACACACAUCCAUCCUAAGUGAAACACAAGUUCUGUUUUCCAGUUGACAAGUAUAUAACAUGGCUCUUAAGGCUACACCCACAUUGUAAAAGCCGGUGAUGUCAAUCACAGCAGGUAAGAUGUCAGUCACCUGAGUCAUGCAGAGUUUGACCACAUGAGACUCACCCCAGGACUUAAAUGCAGUGAGUUCAAGGACUCACAUGCUAUGCUGCGUGGGCUCCUCCUUAUGCCACACCUUGACCCCAUUGCACCCUGGGCCUCCACACCAUAAGCCAGAGUGCAGAUCCCUGGGCACAGUAGGACACACCUAGGCUAGUUUCCACUCCCAUGGAUGUUCUUGUGGCCUUGUCAGAGCACUGUGACCACAUCCCACAUCUGAACAGCAAGCUAAUCAACAGGAUGCUCUAGGAGUCCAUCCGUUUGUCUUCUUCAGAGACCCCAUAAUAGAGGGGGCAGAAAUCCAGGCUUUAGGGAGCUACCACAGCCAUGAUUGUUCAUUUGUCCCAGCCACUCCACCUUUGGCCAAGUUACAUCUCUGCCAGGCCCUGCCAUGUUGUCUUCAACAUGUUUGUGUGUCAGUGAUACUUGUAUGAACUAUGCUACACGUUGGCCUAGAGGCUGGGUUUUCCUCUUGCAUUUCCAGCAAGACUACAGAGUUCCCGGGGGAGACUCUCAUGGCUCUUCAUGUUCUGGCAGCACAGUCUGCAGAUGUCUCUAAGGUAUUGGACAUCAGACCCCACUGAGGAGUGAGAGGCUUUCAUUGGCUUAUAGACCCAGGGCCUGGGCAUGAUGGCCUUUAUUGUGUGUGUGAUAGCAUGUAUGCUCUGCUCCAAGUGUAGACAGACACUCCCCAUGCCUGUAGUCUGUGCUUGGAGUGUGGGUACACACUCUCCAUGCAAACAGCUGUCUACGCACACACAGAUGCCAUUUUCAUGAUUUACACCUGUUAUCUUUGAUGUUUCUUUUAAAAGACAAUCAUAUAAAGUUACUGUGAUUUUGUGCUGGCUUUCUUUACCCAGCCCACAGAUGAAUAUUGGAAGGAGACUCGAAUCUGCGUGUGCUCCUCCUUAUGCCCAUACCCUGACCCCAUUGCACACUUUUAGGCAGAGGCAUGGCAGAGCGUGGCCUGUAAUUGUCCUGUCCAUUCCCUAUGGAUUGUGACCACAGUCUGCAGUUCUGCACAGCCUGGCAUCCAAGGAAAUUGGUAUAGUUCCCUACAAUGUCUCCACAGGCCCAGAGGAAGGACAUAAAUAGAAUCUUUAUGAGACCCAAGUGGCUUCUCAGGGUCAGCCAAUGCUCUUGGCUCCUUCUUGUCUCUGAAGACACAGGGCACAGGUCCUGACCUGCAUGCACCUGUAGCUGCUGCACACACUAAGGAUGACUUACUUGUGCUGGCCUCUGAUGCUUCUGGGAGUCCUGAAAACCACAAUCCCUGGGCCAAGGGGACUAGUGAGGGACAAGUGAGCACAAGGCCCCUGCCUGCUCCCUGGAGACCAGAAACCCCAGCAGGGUUCUCACUGCUGUGUUCCCCAAGAUAAUGACAAGCACCUGUUACAACAGGCCAUGCUCUAUUGGGAAAGGCAGACAGGCACAUCCAAGGCUGUUCUGUGGCCAUGCUGGGCCUGCCUGCUCUUCAGGGGCAUACUCUGCCAUGCCACUCAGCAUAUCCCAAGCUGUGUCUGGAGUGCUUUGGUCUCACAGGAAUGCUGUGUUCAUGGAGACACUGACAAACUAAGGACCAAGACCCUGUCAAGUACCCAUCUACACAUGACUCCUGCCAGGAAUCAGCAGUAUGGGCAACCACGUAAACAUGGAGACAUGGAUUAUUUCUUCCGUGGGAGCACUUGUGAACCACAGGGUCAGGUGACAAGCUCUAGACCAGGAAAGGAUCAGGAGGAGCAGAGUGACCUCACCUGAACUUGAGGAAUAGGGAACCCAGGAAGGGGAGUGACCACCCCUGGUUCACACAAUUUAGGGACAUAUGUGGUGGGAAGAAGCUAAGUUGAGGCAGCCUGGACACAUCCCAAGAUAGCAGUUGAUUGGGGGAGGGGGCGGUGUAGGCUUGCAUGAAAUGAUGUGUGUGUGUGUGUGUGUGUGUGUGUGUGUGUGUGUGCCUGUGUAUGUCUGUGGAUGGGCCUAUCCUGACACCAGACCUGACUGAUGCCAGGCACCCACAGUUGGCACAGACACCACUUUACAAUAGGGUUUUUGUUCCCAAAGGUUUUCUAAUGGAAGGUAAUAUGCGUCUCGUACAGGGCUAGUUCACCAGAUUUUGUACGAAAGAUGAAAUCUGAUCUUUAGAGAUUGGAGUCUGAGCUAGCCUUGUGGACCCUCCACUUCCCACUGUUCCCAGUCUGUUUCGUGUCACAAUGUCCAGGGAAUAGAACCCUCAGUUCUGCCAGCACCUCUGUGUGAGGCAUCGCAUCAGCUGACAUCCAGAAUGGUUGUCCCAACUCCACAUGUUCUGGCCAAGGUCAAGAUGCACACAAGAAGGCCUAGAUGAGGAGGUACUGCCCCACCCAGCCAGACAGAUUUUAUCUACUCUAACAGAUGUUAGGAGGAGGUGCAGAUAUGACUCACAAAAAUGCAUCCACUAUUGGGCUCAACUACCAAGAACCUGUGAGCAGCAGUGACAUUCAAGUCUCCUCUCAUCCAAGUAAAGGUACAUCAAAUACUUCUUUGGAGCCUGGGCAGUAAAGAAAUCUUGAGGGCUCCAUGAGUAGAUAACAUACCAUGAACCAUAUCAGAGCCCAUGGACUGUACCUGCUUGAUGACCCUGGACCUCCUUGGCUAACGUGAGGAGAGGAGACCCCAAACAGCCCUAUACCAGUGCCUCAGAAACACUGUCAGACAGGAUGGACCAGCCUCCACAACCUGAGAUGUGCAGUAAGGGUUCUUUUCCAUUCCAUACAAAGAUGUCUGGUUUGCAGAGUCUCAAAUGGAUCUGAGACAUACUGCAAGGGAGGCUUUGUGUUGGGUGCAGUAGUUAAAACCAGGACAUGAGAAGGGUAACUGCAGAGCUGUGAUCUCGGAAAUUCUGCAGUACCCAGUUUGGAUUAUUGGAGCCUAGGCAGGCCUUGCAGUCAUAGACCUCCCUCUACUGCCCAUGUCCCAUCAUGAUACCUUCUCCAGCAUGCAUCAGCUCCAUAUCCUGCCCAACAUACCUUAGGGUCCCUGAUAAUUCCAGAUACUUUAAUGUUCUCCCAGGCUGCACUGUGGGCUCUUGUGUGCCUCACAUUCAUCCUAGAAGUUGUUGGGAGCCUCCAUGCCAUGGCAUAGGAUAUCUUUGUGUCCACACUGAGCCGAGUGAUUCCAUCCAGUACAGGAUUCUCUCCCUAUUGUUGAAUUUUGGCACUUAUGUCUUUAGGAAUGACUCUGCAUGUGGUCAACACACACUACCCUGGAAGACCCGAGAGUUCAAGGACGGCCAACUUUCACUUAAGCAAACUUGUCCACAGACUGCGUGGGUCCCAUCAGCUGAGAGUAGCCUCCACAUUGCAGUGAUGUGCAAACUUCUGCUUUUAAGUCAUGAUGGACUUAGGAUCUAACCUGAGGACCAUACACAAGGCACAGGUUCUGAGCCUGAUGGAGAGGACUCCUGCUAAACCCAGUGUUCCCAAGAAACUGGCUGUAUCGGCAGGGCUAAGUGUAGAGGAUUCUCCACGACCCUGAGAACACAAUUUGGAAAUCUCAGGUAGGCAGGGUGUGUGGGGGAGCAACCAGGGCUGGAUGGAGACCUUACCCAGAAUUUGAUCUCCAGCCCUGCAUUCUGAUUAGCAUGAACUACACGCCUGUGAAGGUCUCUGGGUGGUUCCUGAAAUUAGGUGGAGUAAGAGGAGGAGAAGGAGGAGGAGGAGGAGAAGGAGAAGGAGGAAGAAGAAGAGGAGGAGAAGAAGGAGGGGGAGGAGGAGGAGGAGGAAGAGGAAAAAACAAGUAAGCAAGGAAAAGACAGGCACGUGGCCCGUACUCACUGCAGUGGCCCAUCGUAUCCUAGGUGUUUUCCUGCCCUAACUGUGAAGCAGGAACCAAACACCACUCCUCAUGGGACUGUCUGAGAUGAGGCCAGCUGUGGGUCUGAACUGUCAGCAAGGAAAGGAGCUGUCUGUGCCAUACAUCGAAGCAUAGUGUCCCACAUAAGCCCAUCUCACAAAUGAUGCCAUCUCCUCCCCAGAGUGGCUCAAGUAAGGGUUAGGAGUGCCUCAUGAAUGCCAAGACCUCCCCUACUCCUGCAGACCCAUGAAUGGUGCCUUCUCAGGGCCCAUCUAUCCUGAGCCCAGGGAGCAGCCAGAGGGCAUACUCAUGCGAUUUCAUACUCAGGUCAAUCUGCUAUCCUGUACCCCAUGAGUCGGGACUGAAACUCAGUGCUCAAGACCACAUUUUUUUUUCUGGACAAGACUUUCAGAAUGUGGUCACACACAGUGUUAGUGACACAUUGCAUGCCCAUGACUGGUAUUCAUUGUAGCCCUGAGCACCCAGGGAUUCAGAUCAGCAUUGGCCAGAUCAGACUCUUUGCUACCUGGUCCUAUAGCUCACCUCCACUGUAGUUCCAUGUGUCCUGACUGCUGCAGCUGCACCAAAAGCUACCAGAUGUCUUCCCACAGAAUCGUACUGUAAUGUGGGCUCAUCCACAGACAUCUCACACUCUCCCUGCUGGGAGUUAGGCUGGAUGCCUCCUGUGUGAGAGCUGCCUUGCCUUGUGGAGCAGAGAGAGAAGCAGUGGAGGAGAUGUUGUCUGCUGGUCUUAUUGUCCUCAGUGCCCAGGGCUUCCCUGUGGUUUGGGUUCAGAUCCAGCUCCAGUGAAUCACUGAUUAAAUUCAGCCCAUAGAAGCUGCAAACACCAUGGGGCACAGGGUAGACCAGGAAUGAGGGGCAACCAAGCAACCCAGGACCCUGUGUGGACCAGGGAAGCCAAUAAUCCAGGUCACCUCUCAGGCAGGAUGCAAGGCCAGGAGCUCUGUGUGCCCAGACAGAGUUAGAUGGGACCCUGACUCCCACAAAAUGCUCCUUCAGAACUAUUACAUCAUCAGCUUUGAGAAAGUCGUCCUCAUUAAGGACUUUCCGCACAGCUUGCACUGCCAUCUAACUCUGUCUUCCAGGGGUGAUCCUCUUCAGGAAUAUUGACAUGUCUUCUAUGAAUGGUUAAUAUUCUGAUAAUUUGUUUCAUAAACAUUGCUCAGCAUAGUAUCUGUCUCGAAAAGAAGUCAUUCAGCAAUUAUCCCAGGACAGGGAAGCAAAGUCCUCCUCCUCUUCCUCCUCCUCCUCCCCCUCCCCCUCCUUCUCCUCCUCCUUCUUCUCCUCCUAUUCCACUUCUCCUAUUCCUUCUCCUCCAGAUUUUUCUCCUCCUCCUCCUGCUCUGCCUCCUCCUCCUGCUCUGCCUACUCCUCCUCCUUCUCCUCCUCCUUCUUCUCCUCCUAUUCCACUUUUCCUAUUCCUUCUCCUCCAGAUUUUUCUCCUCCUCCUCCUGCUCUGCCUCCUCCUCCUGUUCUGCCUCCUCCUCCUCCUCCUCAUCCUCCUCCUCCUCCUCCUCCUCUUCCUCCUUCUGCUACUGCUAAUGCUGCUGGUGCUAUUGCUGUUACUCCUGUUGGUGCUGUAGCUUCUGCUGGUGUCUUUUCAUUGGCCAUGUGUCUGAAAUCACCACCUGUUUAUACACAGGAUAUGACAGAAUUUCAAGAUGGCACUGUGAAAGAAAAAAAGAAUUUAUUCUAAGCAAAAAAAUAUGAGGUAGAAUACUUAGAUUACCAUUUGGAGCUUUGAUUGCUUUAUUAUUUUAUUACUUCUUCUCUUCUACUUCUCAGUUAAGAUUUUUGAAAGAAAUCAUUUAGAAAUGUUACCAAUCAGUAGGCCUUAGGAACAAAAAAAAUCAGUAUGCAAAAAACUAUGCAUGGAUCCAGGAUUCUGACCAUCAACAAUAACCCACAAACUAGGUUGUUGAUACUUAUUCAAUGACAAACCUUGUUAUUAAUUUUAAGGCUUAGUGGAAUGGGACGUGACAUUUGAAAAGAUAAGACUCUGUUCUGCAGCACUUGGAAUUGAUGACCACAUGUGCUAGGACCAGUAGCCCAUGGAAGAGUGCAAGAUCCCAUGAACCUCUAGUCCUCACCCUGUGGGAGCUAUUGGCCUAAGGGGGGGAUGGAGUCCAUCUGAAGGGAUGGGUCAACAAGACAACUCUGUAGAGUGGGGAACUCAUCAUUCAUAUUGGGUCCCUGCUGGGAAGAGGAGAAAUCAAGAAGAGGCAGGAGGCUUGGUAUUGGGGAAACCUCAUAAAGAACUUAGAGAAGAUACAAGGUAAGAAUUGUGGGGAAAAUGGAAACCAGAGACAAGAGGAAGGAGGAGCAUAGAGCAAACUGGAAAGGACAAAGCACAAAGAUACCUGGGCUAUGCCUGCUGCUUGUUCUCUGGACUCUCCCUGUGGCUCAUUUCUCGGGUGAGAUGCUGUUCUGCCCCAGGCGAGGUUUCUUUCUCCUUGGCAAGCAGCAACAAAGAUUAAUCAGGGCAUUUGCUAUAUUCAUGGUCCACACCUUAAAACCUCUGUGCCGGACCCUGCUGGAGAUGGGCUUAUCCUCUA
Molecule: non-coding RNA, 30316 nt
Organism: Rattus norvegicus (Norway rat)
Lineage: Eukaryota; Metazoa; Chordata; Mammalia; Rodentia; Muridae
Source: RefSeq, a predicted model, not a curated record